GAUGAACGCUGGCGGCGUGCUUAACACAUGCAAGUCGAACGGGAAACCUUUUAAAGAAGCUUCGGCAGAUUUAGCUGGUUUCUAGUGGCGGACGGGUGAGUAACGCGUGGGUAACCUGCCUUGUACAGGGGGAUAACAGUCAGAAAUGACUGCUAAUACCGCAUAAGCGCACAGGACCGCAUGGUCCAGUGUGAAAAACUCCGGUGGUAUAAGAUGGACCCGCGUUGGAUUAGCUGGUUGGUGGGGUAACGGCCUACCAAGGCGACGAUCCAUAGCCGGCCUGAGAGGGUGAACGGCCACAUUGGGACUGAGACACGGCCCAGACUCCUACGGGAGGCAGCAGUGGGGAAUAUUGCACAAUGGGGGAAACCCUGAUGCAGCGACGCCGCGUGAAGGAAGAAGUAUCUCGGUAUGUAAACUUCUAUCAGCAGGGAAGAGAUUGACGGUAC
This 449-nucleotide ribosomal RNA is filed under the name uncultured bacterium. Its description in RNAcentral is "bacterial SSU rRNA". It matches the Rfam family "Bacterial small subunit ribosomal RNA", at positions 28 to 478 of the family's 1533-position model. The record is from RNAcentral.